UUUUUUUUCCCUCUUAAUUCGAGUUUAGUAAUCUGAAAUGGGCGCGCCUAACAGCAGAGUGAGAGAUCUAAAUUGAGACAGGACUUGGAGGCUCCACCCCUCCCAUCCCCAUUACAAUGGCGCUUCUCGCUGCUGUGGCAAACAUCGCAAAUCCAGGGGGUGAGAAAGCAGUUGCUAAACGCAGGCGGCCCCACCUGGCCCGGCGUCCCAGCUGGCCGCGGAGAACAGAGCGCGCCCACUUCCCCGGCCCACCGGGUUCCUCAGGCUGUUUACACUAGCGCUCUACCAACGAUGCCCAGGGAAAAUGUUAUGAUUUAUCACCUUAAAAAAAAAAAGAAGAAGAGAACUCGCACUGCAGACGUUAGGUGUUGCUACUUGGAACCCUGAAAAAAAAUUACCUAAGAAGAUGCCUUUAUAUUUUUGCUACAGAAAGAAUUUGGUAGAACUGUAAAGCUUGGAGCAAUCUCUGAACACAGUUAGGGUUGGGUUGGCUCUCCUGUCAGAAUGAAGGCCAGUGGCCGGUGGUGCCCAGGAGUUAUUGAUGCCCAACGCUGUCUGGCUUCUUUGCAGCUCCUCUCUCCUGCUCUCUGGCACUGCCACCAUCUUCAGAUGACUCAGGUUUCACCAUGACUACACCAUAAAAGCAGGGAACUGCCAGAAACUGUUGGAAAACAGACACAUUCAGUCCCUGACAACUUAAACUUUCUAAUUCAUGGAGCGGUUUUAGAUGGUAGCAUUCUAAUAUGGGGCAAAAUGCAAACGGAAAAGAGGUCAGCAAAAAGAUGUCUCAUGACAAAGCUAUGUGCUAAAUAAGGAAAAGUGAGAAAGUAGCACCUAGACAAACUGUGGUUUGGGGAAUCCAGAAACUUGCUUUCCUCCCUUUCCUGUUCCACCCUUUUUCUCCCUGCUGAACAGCUUGCAAAGGUCCUUAUGUCCUUUCCUUCAGGCAGCCUAUCUUUAGUGGCCAACUUCCUGUGCAGGCAGGACUUAGGAAUGGUCAAAAGUGUCUGUGUGGAUCCCUGGGUGCUGACCUGUUCCUGACACAGCUGUUACUACUGGUCUCCUCACCUCCGUUGUUCAGAGAGGAGGACCAUGGUCAAGGGUGGGCCAAGCACCAAGGUCUAACUCAGUGCUUCUCACAUGCCAAUGUGUGUGAGAAUCACAUGAAAACAGACUCUGACUUGGCAGGUCUGGAACGAGGACUGGGAUUCUGCUUUACUUUAGCAGACAGUAGGCCAUGGAGACUCUACAAGUGGGGGCAAUUUGGGGGCAAUUUGAUGAGCAAAGGCAAUUAAGAACACAGAAAAUUCUUCUCAAUCUUUCACUUCAUAAAGGUGGAUUAAUAAAUUCAGGUUCAUUCUAGAGGUAGGCAAACAUAAGAGGGACUGCAAAAGAUUAGAUGAUAAUGUUGCCUCCCGAGAAGACUUACAGAAAGUCUUAGAACCACAUUGUAUAAAUCUGUGUGGAUUUUAAAGUGAUGCCACCUUCCUGUUUAUGCCCUCCUUCCCACAAUACACACUUGUCGAAAGGCGUAGUCAUGCAAAAAUUUAGGCAUAUGGAUUUGCAUAGAGAUGAGGCUAUUACAUGCCUGGCACAGAGUAGCUAUUCAAUAAAAAUGUGUUAAAAGGAUUAAUGAAAAAUGUUCAUCUCAGAAGUGGGAUUUUUUAUUAAGAAAAACUGAAAAUGAGGCCAGGCGUGGUGGUUCACACCUGUAAUCCCAGUAAUUUGGGAGACCGAGGCGGGUGGAUCACCUAAGGUCACGAGUUCGAGACCAACCUGACCAACAUUGUGAAACCCCAUCUCUACUAAAAAUACAAAAUUAGCCAAGUGUGGAUGGUGGCACAUGCCUGUAAUCCGAGCUACUCAGGAGACUGAGGCAAGAGAAUUGCUUGAACCUGGGCGUUGGAGGUUGCAGUGAGCCGAGAUCGCAGAAUUGCUCUCCAGCCUGGGCAACAAGAGCAAAACUCCGUCUC
Long non-coding RNA from Homo sapiens (human), 1973 nucleotides. Ensembl annotates it as CD109 antisense RNA 1. Its record names the gene CD109-AS1. The record is from Ensembl. NCBI's taxonomy places the organism in Eukaryota, Metazoa, Chordata, Mammalia, Primates, Hominidae.